Molecule: ribosomal RNA, 1361 nt
Filed under: Lactiplantibacillus plantarum subsp. plantarum
Lineage: Bacteria; Bacillati; Bacillota; Bacilli; Lactobacillales; Lactobacillaceae
Description: bacterial SSU rRNA
Rfam family: Bacterial small subunit ribosomal RNA
Source: RNAcentral
GAUUUACAUUUGAGUGAGUGGCGAACUGGUGAGUAACACGUGGGAAACCUGCCCAGAAGCGGGGGAUAACACCUGGAAACAGAUGCUAAUACCGCAUAACAACUUGGACCGCAUGGUCCGAGUUUGAAAGAUGGCUUCGGCUAUCACUUUUGGAUGGUCCCGCGGCGUAUUAGCUAGAUGGUGGGGUAACGGCUCACCAUGGCAAUGAUACGUAGCCGACCUGAGAGGGUAAUCGGCCACAUUGGGACUGAGACACGGCCCAAACUCCUACGGGAGGCAGCAGUAGGGAAUCUUCCACAAUGGACGAAAGUCUGAUGGAGCAACGCCGCGUGAGUGAAGAAGGGUUUCGGCUCGUAAAACUCUGUUGUUAAAGAAGAACAUAUCUGAGAGUAACUGUUCAGGUAUUGACGGUAUUUAACCAGAAAGCCACGGCUAACUACGUGCCAGCAGCCGCGGUAAUACGUAGGUGGCAAGCGUUGUCCGGAUUUAUUGGGCGUAAAGCGAGCGCAGGCGGUUUUUUAAGUCUGAUGUGAAAGCCUUCGGCUCAACCGAAGAAGUGCAUCGGAAACUGGGAAACUUGAGUGCAGAAGAGGACAGUGGAACUCCAUGUGUAGCGGUGAAAUGCGUAGAUAUAUGGAAGAACACCAGUGGCGAAGGCGGCUGUCUGGUCUGUAACUGACGCUGAGGCUCGAAAGUAUGGGUAGCAAACAGGAUUAGAUACCCUGGUAGUCCAUACCGUAAACGAUGAAUGCUAAGUGUUGGAGGGUUUCCGCCCUUCAGUGCUGCAGCUAACGCAUUAAGCAUUCCGCCUGGGGAGUACGGCCGCAAGGCUGAAACUCAAAGGAAUUGACGGGGGCCCGCACAAGCGGUGGAGCAUGUGGUUUAAUUCGAAGCUACGCGAAGAACCUUACCAGGUCUUGACAUACUAUGCAAAUCUAAGAGAUUAGACGUUCCCUUCGGGGACAUGGAUACAGGUGGUGCAUGGUUGUCGUCAGCUCGUGUCGUGAGAUGUUGGGUUAAGUCCCGCAACGAGCGCAACCCUUAUUAUCAGUUGCCAGCAUUAAGUUGGGCACUCUGGUGAGACUGCCGGUGACAAACCGGAGGAAGGUGGGGAUGACGUCAAAUCAUCAUGCCCCUUAUGACCUGGGCUACACACGUGCUACAAUGGAUGGUACAACGAGUUGCGAACUCGCGAGAGUAAGCUAAUCUCUUAAAGCCAUUCUCAGUUCGGAUUGUAGGCUGCAACUCGCCUACAUGAAGUCGGAAUCGCUAGUAAUCGCGGAUCAGCAUGCCGCGGUGAAUACGUUCCCGGGCCUUGUACACACCGCCCGUCACACCAUGAGAGUUUGUAACACCCAAAG